GCCUUUUUAGUAUAAAAAGUACUCCUGGCUUCCAACCGGAAGGUCUAGAACACUCUAGAAAAGGCA
RNAcentral lists this transfer RNA (66 nucleotides) under Benthonectes filipes. Its description in RNAcentral is "tRNA-Gly". The record is from RNAcentral. Lineage: Eukaryota; Metazoa; Arthropoda; Malacostraca; Decapoda; Benthesicymidae.